CUUGAUGGUUUAUAGAGUAAAAACUUGCUUUUGAUCUGAUGAGUUUUGUUCCUGUAAAUGCUGCUCUUCUCUGUGUCUAGCACCGAAGAAUUAUUUCUCCUUUCACUAGCUUUAUUUUGAUUAUUCUUCUUUCUUAUGUAGCAGAUUUACUGAAAUGCAUCAUGUCUUCUUGUGCAGAGUCAUUCUGAGAGAGUUCUGCAGUAAAUGAGUGAAGAAACUGCUGGCACAGGACUGCUGAAAUCCAGAGAAACAAGAGUCACCGACACUUUCUGUACCGUCGUCACCACAGUCUGUAUCCACAACAUCAAACAAAAGUUGGCCUUUAUUUCUCUGUUGCUAAUGUCUAUGGAGAGGCUCUCAUGGACUUCAAAGGAAUUAGGAUUUGUGCCUUCUGAAAGUGGUAAGUGUAUAGAUCUGUGGAGGAACUAUGCUGCAUUCUAAUUAUUUGCUUUGAUUUGUAUUUAUAUACAUGUUUGUUAUGCUGGAAGGUCACUGUAGGCCCACUGUGACUCCCACCUGUAAAAAACCUUCCAGCAAAAACCACCCAGAGCACCAGCUGGUUGAAAAGACCUCAUCUCCAUCUCCCUGCCCACCUCUGCUAAUGUGAACACUGAAAUAUUCAGUAACAGACUUGAAGUAAAACUUGAAAAAAUG
RNAcentral lists this long non-coding RNA (654 nucleotides) under Coturnix japonica (Japanese quail). RNAcentral describes it as "lncRNA (ENSCJPG00005020022.1)". The record is from RNAcentral. Lineage: Eukaryota; Metazoa; Chordata; Aves; Galliformes; Phasianidae.